RNAcentral lists this ribosomal RNA (522 nucleotides) under uncultured bacterium. RNAcentral describes it as "bacterial SSU rRNA". It matches the Rfam family "Bacterial small subunit ribosomal RNA", at positions 28 to 526 of the family's 1533-position model. The record is from RNAcentral.
AACGAACGCUGGCGGCGUGCCUAAGACAUGCAAGUCGUACGGAAAGGCCCCCUUCGGGGGGCACUCGAGUGGCGCACGGGUGAGUAACGCGUGGGUAAUCUGCCUUAGGGUCUAGGACAACCCCGGGAAACUGGGGCUAAUACUGGAUAAGACCACGAGCUCUUCGGAGCUUGCGGGAAAAGAUGGCCUCUCCUUGGAAGCUAUCGCCCUUCGAUGAGCCCGCGUCCCAUUAGCUAGUUGGUGAGGUGACGGCUCACCAAGGCUUUGAUGGGUAGCUGGUCUGAGAGGAUGAUCAGCCACACUGGAACUGAGACACGGUCCAGACUCCUACGGGAGGCAGCAGUCGGGAAUUUUGGGCAAUGGGCGAAAGCCUGACCCAGCAACGCCGCGUGAGGGAUGAAGGCCCUCGGGUCGUAAACCUCUGUCGGGAGGGAGAACGGUUCACGUUCGAACAGGACGGGAGCCUGACGGUACCUCCAAAGGAAGCACCGGCUAACUCCGUGCCAGCAGCCGCGGUAAUAC